UAAGGAAUAUUGCUCAAUGGGAGAAAUCCUGAAGCAGCAACGCCGCGUGGAGGAUGAAGGGUUUUUAACUUGUAAACCCCUGUAAAGAAGGAAAAAAUUCCCAUUAGAUGGGAAAUGAUGGUACUUCUGGAGUAAGCCCCGGCUAACUACGUGCCAGCAGCCGCGGUAAUACGUAGGGGGCAAGCGUUGUCCGGAUUUACUGGGUGUAAAGGGUGCUCAGGCGGAUUUGUAAGUCAGAGGUGAAAUCUCACAGCUUAACUGUGAAACUGCCUUUGAUACUGCAAGCCUAGAGUAUGGAAGAGAGUGAUGGAAUAUCUGGUGUAGCAGUGAAAUGCGUAGAUAUCAGAUAGAACACCAAUGGCGAAGGCAGUCACUUGGUCCAUAACUGACGCUAAAGCACGAAAGCGUGGGUAGCAAACAGGAUUAGAUACCCUGGUAGUCCACGCCCUAAACGAUGAAUACUAGAUGUUGGCUUCGCAUGAAGACAGUAUCUGAGCUAACGCAUUAAGUAUUCCACCUGGGAAGUACGAUCGCAAGGUUG
Molecule: ribosomal RNA, 541 nt
Filed under: uncultured bacterium
Lineage: Bacteria
Description: partial 16S ribosomal RNA
Rfam family: Bacterial small subunit ribosomal RNA
Source: RNAcentral